CCCUUAGAUGUUCUGGGCCGCACGCGUGCUACACUGAGUGGAUCAGCGGGUCAGGUUGCGCGAAAGUGUUUCCUAAUCUUGAAAUCCGCUCGUGAUGGGGAUUGACGGUUGCAAUUUUCCGUCAUGAACGAGGAAUACCUUGUAAGCGCGGGUCAUCAUCCCGCGCUGAAUACGUCCCUGCCCUUUGUACACACCGCCCGUCGCACCUACCGAUUGGAUGGUCCGGUGAAGCCUCGGGAUUGUGGUUCUUGCCGCUUUAUUGUGGCGUGACCGCGAGAACUUGUCUAAACCUUAUCAUCUAGAGGAAGGUGAAGUCGUAACA
This 322-nucleotide ribosomal RNA is filed under the name uncultured eukaryote. RNAcentral describes it as "partial 18S ribosomal RNA". It matches the Rfam family "Eukaryotic small subunit ribosomal RNA", at positions 1470 to 1796 of the family's 1831-position model. The record is from RNAcentral.